GCCAGAGUUCCGUAAAGUCAAGGCUUUCGGAAGCGUGUCUUGUAAAUUCAGUAACCCACCGGCGGCGGAAAAAAUCUCGCAGCGGACCUUGCGACGGUCGCGUUGCGUUGUCGUCGGUAAUGAAAAACCAAUCUGCGGCGGAGUUUGCCCCUUCGAGGGAAUCCUCCGCCCCAUUUAGCAAGCGGUUACUUUCUUU
Molecule: small RNA, 196 nt
Filed under: Alistipes sp. CHKCI003
Lineage: Bacteria; Pseudomonadati; Bacteroidota; Bacteroidia; Bacteroidales; Rikenellaceae
Description: RT-7 RNA
Rfam family: RT-7 RNA
About the family: Bacteroidales. Nearby to self-splicing intron genes
Source: Rfam by way of RNAcentral